AGAGGAAGGAGGAAGCACUGGGGACUUAAAUGGAGCAAACCAUCCACGCGUGUGUGGUCAUGUCAAAAUGAACCCGUCAUGUUACGUGUGACUAUGUUGCCUGGUCACAUUCGAGUUGCGGCCAACGAUCGUGGAAAGACCCCCAGCUUGCUUGUCACUAGGGGAAUGCAAAUGAAACCACCAGGAGAUCCACUUCACACCUGCUGCGAUGGGCAGACCCAGACAGAGGGCGGCAAGUGCCGGCGGGGACAUGGAGAAAUCGACACCCUGCGCAUUCCUGGUAGGAGUGUCGAGUGCUGCAACCCAAAUGGAAAGCCGUCCAGUGGUUCCUCAAUAUAAAUAUAAAAUUACUUUUGUGACUCAGCAAUUCCACUCCAUGGUACCUACACCAAAGAAUUGGAAAAAAAAAAAAACUUGUCCGUGAGUGUUCAUAGCCGCAGUAUUCAUCAGAGCCCAAAGCUGCAAAGAACCCCACUGUCUGGAUAAGUGGAAAGACAAAUACUGGCCCACAGUGACCCCCAAAGGAGCCACCCCGGGGACCAAGCCUGUUGCACAUGGGCCUUCGGGGGACACUCACAGUCAAAUGGAAGCAGCUUCCUUGGGUGAUGAGAAACGUCCUGGAACCAGGGCAGCCGGAGAAGGGCGAGACCAACUUUAUUUCUGAAUUUGGACUGACUGAAAGAAGUGGCAUCACAUUUGAAGGGCACCCAAUCAAUCUGUUGCCCUCACUGCAUGAAAUUGUAUUCGCUUACCACUUCCUAUCUCGCCGGGCGCAGCUGGGCUGUAAGUCAUUGGUGAUAACAUUCUUUAUUAUGCCGUCGUGUUUAUGAACUGUGCCUGGAAAGAGAUGAUAGAAAUAUGCGGCAAUAUGCAAAGGAAGGGGGAGGGGGAGGGGGAGCAAAUGCUAGUUGCCAGGGCAACCGUGGGGCUAUUUUGGGCAUCGGAUUUUGCAGAUGAUGGAAACCAUUUCCCUGCAGUGGUUGGACUCUCCCCUCCCCCUUCCUGGAGGCAAUAAACGCAGAACCGAAUAUUUAGGAAGGAGAUGGCUUAAUUUCUUAA
Molecule: non-coding RNA, 1059 nt
Organism: Marmota flaviventris (yellow-bellied marmot)
Lineage: Eukaryota; Metazoa; Chordata; Mammalia; Rodentia; Sciuridae
Source: RefSeq, a predicted model, not a curated record